RNAcentral lists this ribosomal RNA (592 nucleotides) under Brettanomyces custersianus. RNAcentral describes it as "eukaryotic LSU rRNA". It matches the Rfam family "Eukaryotic large subunit ribosomal RNA", at positions 53 to 656 of the family's 3401-position model. Lineage: Eukaryota; Fungi; Ascomycota; Pichiomycetes; Pichiales; Pichiaceae. The record is from RNAcentral.
GAGGAAAAGAAACCAACAGGGAUUGCCUCAGUAAUGGCGAACGAAGCGGCAACAGCCCAAAUUUGAAAUCUGGCGUAAGCCCGAGUUGUAAUUUGGAGGUAGACUAUUUGGGUGUCUGUGUCAACUAAGUGCCUUGGAAUAGGCCGCCGUAGAGGGUGAGAGCCCCGUGAGUUGACUAGCAGUUAUUCAGUUUGUCUUCCGACGAGUCGAGUUGUUUGGGAUUGCAGCUCUAAGUGGGUGGUAUAUUCCAUCUAAGGCUAAAUAAUAGCGAGAGACCGAUAGCAAACAAGUACAGUGAUGGAAAGAUGAAAAGAACUUUGAAAAGAGAGUGAAAUAGUACGUGAAAUUGUUGAAAGGGAAGGGUAUCUGAUCCGACGUGGUAUUUAGAUGUCGCCUGCCCUUGUGGCGGGUGCUCCAUUUUUUUACUGGGCCAGCGUGAGUUAGAAGGGGAUGAAAAGGCGGGAACGAAUGUAGCCUUCCUCCCUUUGGGAGAGGGGUGUUAUAACAUUCCUGUUUAGUUCCUUUCUGACUGAGGUCCGCGGUUUUUUAUUACCAAGGACGCUGGCAGAACGAGCAGAUACCGCCCGUCUUG